UCCCUGGUGGCUGAGACAGUAAAGAAUCUGCCUGCAGUACAGGAGACCUGGGUUCAAUCCCUGGAUAGGGAG
RNAcentral lists this transfer RNA (72 nucleotides) under Ovis aries (sheep). It matches the Rfam family "tRNA". From Rfam's summary of the family: Transfer RNA (tRNA) molecules are approximately 80 nucleotides in length. Their secondary structure includes four short double-helical elements and three loops (D, anti-codon, and T loops). The record is from Rfam by way of RNAcentral. Lineage: Eukaryota; Metazoa; Chordata; Mammalia; Artiodactyla; Bovidae.